Molecule: unclassified non-coding RNA, 337 nt
Filed under: Athalia rosae (coleseed sawfly)
Lineage: Eukaryota; Metazoa; Arthropoda; Insecta; Hymenoptera; Athaliidae
Description: misc RNA ENSAEAG00005006975.1
Source: RNAcentral
ACUCUGCGGGCCCUCGCUUUCAUUGGACGCACUGACAUAAAUGCAUACAAGCUAGUUGCAGGUUAGAGCUACUUCUGUGAAGUUGGCCGGUCAAAAUCGAUUUACGAAGCAUUUUUCACUCAAUCAAUGGCCAUGUAUAUACCGUUAAUAGAUUUGCUAUCAAUGUGCCGAACGGCAUUCGACCGACCCGGUAUUGUGCCGAAUCGCAAUUUGUCCAAGUGGCCAACCAACGAACGUUGCGUUCACGGAGUGACAAAGUGCCGAAUUGUCGAGCGCCCAACCCGGACACUGGGUAUAAGCUUCGUACUAAAGAGAGCCAGCCCUGGGUAAAUUUUCG